AAAAAAGAUACUCAGCUACACCAAUUAGGACGAAACAUAUGGUCACAAAUGCAAAGUUUAGAAAUGUACAACGAACUAAAUGUAUUGCAUGCCCACAUAUACUAAAUAUAUGAUGACAUGUGGUCAACAUCACAAACAUUUUUCCGAUAUACUAAUCGUCAAAAUCCAGUGUUGACCAUAAUUGACCGGCAUUGACAAACAAAAAUAUUUU
RNAcentral lists this small RNA (211 nucleotides) under Arabidopsis thaliana (thale cress). RNAcentral describes it as "ATSL031050". Lineage: Eukaryota; Viridiplantae; Streptophyta; Magnoliopsida; Brassicales; Brassicaceae. The record is from RNAcentral.